Chelonus insularis is the source of this 1377-nucleotide long non-coding RNA. RefSeq lists it as uncharacterized. The record is from RefSeq and is a predicted model, not a curated record. NCBI's taxonomy places the organism in Eukaryota, Metazoa, Arthropoda, Insecta, Hymenoptera, Braconidae. The transcript is spliced from 4 exons.
AAACAAUAGCUAGAGAGAUAAGUCAAUAGACUUUUAAUGAUUCUCACCACGAUCCAGAAUGAAAGUAAUGAUUAUUUUUGUGCACAUCGAUGGAGGCAUCAAUUUCUCUAGAUGAAAAGAGAUGUGUAAUCGAAAAACGAUUUAAGAUUCAAUAGAAUUCAAUAAAGAAGAAUGAAUUUCAAAGUCAUCGAGCCGAGUACCUGAAUGCUUGAUAGAAUUUUCCAUGUGAGUGAUAGGCUUCGGGACACCCACUGUGUAUUCUCGUUUUUUGCCACCCGUUGAUAGUCUCGCAACUGACUUGAUGCAAUUUUAUCACGACAACUGUCUUACAUACAUCAGAUCUCUUUUUCCACAUUUUAUCAUUCAACCCGCAUGAUUCAACUACAAAUAAGGAACAAUCACAACAAAGUUCCAGUAUCACUUUAAUCAAGAGAUACGCGUAUGGACUAGAUUUUGACGCAUCAAAAUUGCCCAAAGGGAUGCACCAAUCUAUGCUAUGGUGAUCGAUGGUUCAUGCAAUCGAAUUCGGUUGUCUUCUAAAAACAUCAGCGUCUGCAGCAUUUGCAUAUUUUUAUUAAUUGUGUAUCAAGCUCAAGGCAGUUGAGGAAAUGACAAAAUUUAUCCACAUGAUUAACUUUAAUAUCCUUUACAGUUUUUUUUCUCAACUUGUUUUCUCUUCAAUUUUUUUCUCGUAUUUUCACGAGGCCUUCGUCUCGCUAAAAGCGUUCUUCCAUGCACACGUCGAAUAGCCACUUCCGUGUCCGGCACACAUCUUUAAUGAUAUUAAAUACCAGAGUCUAUUGAGCAGUUUUGGAAUGAGCAAGGAAUAUAUUUGGAAUAUUAUUCAUUAUUAUAAAUGAAAUAGCUGACAAAAAUGUGUAUCUAUAUUUUAUGGUCGGUUGAUACAGCUAUAUAUCAAGCGCUCUCUUAUAUCCCUCAGUAUCCUACGCCUUGUACUCUCUAGUUUUCUCCCUCCGCCCAUUAAAAAGUUGUUAAACGCAGCCUGACGUCGCCCCUUGGCAAAUUGAAACCUCAUCAUAAGUCUCACUAACAGGAAAUGAAAUCCAGCAGCAAACACCAUGUCUAGAAGCUUCAAUCUCCAGAUCAAAUAUGUUAUGAAGGAAAAAAAUAUUGAUGGAUAUCAACUAUUUAAUGGAAGUCUUUUUCAUCAAAUAAUUCUUUCAAAUGCUGAAGAAAUAAAUAAAUUUUCAAUCAUCAUUUCUGCAUAGAGUGUUCAAUAGAGCUUGAAAAAAUGAAUGCAUUUCACUUUAGAAAGAAGAAAAAAAGAGUGAAUAAAUAUUUUUUUUGUUUAUUUCUGCUUAUUGGCAUACAUGUGAAGAAGAGUAUCCUAUAUAUAGUUAUAUCGUAAAAUUUUCC